AUGUCCCUGCUGUGUGCGUGGAAUGUCAAUGUUUUGAGCCAACACUUUUACUGCGGGAGCCUGUCUCUGGUUAUGGCGUGUAUGCCCUGGUUUUAGGGGACACACAAAAUAAGCAGGCGAGCACCCACCUGCCGAGGGCAGGUUCAAAACAGAGACGAUACGGCAUAGUGGGGAAUGA
This is a non-coding RNA of Sporomusa sp. An4, 178 nucleotides long. It matches the Rfam family "6S / SsrS RNA". Rfam says of the family: E. coli 6S RNA was the first non coding RNA to be sequenced, but its function was unknown until recently. It consists of 184 nucleotides that fold into an extended hairpin structure with a large single-stranded internal bulge. NCBI's taxonomy places the organism in Bacteria, Bacillati, Bacillota, Negativicutes, Selenomonadales, Sporomusaceae. The record is from Rfam.